Non-coding RNA from Solanum lycopersicum (tomato), 2381 nucleotides. The record is from RefSeq and is a predicted model, not a curated record. Lineage: Eukaryota; Viridiplantae; Streptophyta; Magnoliopsida; Solanales; Solanaceae.
GUUAAAUUGUACUACUUUAUUUUGUUAUUCCAUUAUUUACGUUUAGACCAAGUACAACCCAACAAGUACCCUUUCAUGUGGACUUUAAGAACAAAUACUCUUGUGAAAUGACUCGAAGACUUCAUUUGAAAUUUUCAGGAAAACUUGAGUCAUCUUAGGCCGCACGCAGUAUGCCUUCAGUUUUUGGAUUGUGUCAAGAAUGAUACGAAUGAUAUGAUUUCUUCUGCUGACUGUAAGAUGAUGGAAGAAAAAUAGCACUUGGGCAUGGCACGACAGCUGAAGAAGUCACAUACUUGUGUUUUGCAGCACCACGACAUUUAAUGGGUAUUGUAUAAAAUUACUUUACACCGAACAAGGAAAUCUUCUUUUAAUACAUUAUUUUAUCCGUUUCCUAUCUCGUUUCAGUUAGUUCUCUUUAUUUGAUCAAAGGUUCAAUUUAACGGUUUCUUCAAGCUUUGCUUAAUUAAUUUUGUAAGUUGAAAUAUCUUACUUUCAACUAUCUAAUGCUACUUGAUGUUAUGAUUUUAUCUGCGAAUAAAUUUUUGAAUUUCUUUUAUAUAUAAUUUAGCAGCUUAUGAUGCUUCAUUUUGACAAUUGUGUCAUCAUAUCCCCAGAUCCACAAAAGACAUUAUGACCAACCACGGUGUUGUCCUUUUAUAUUAAAAUAAUAUAUUUUUAGGAUGCUAAUGAAAUGCUUUUAACUUCAUUGCUAACUAAUUAUGAAAGAAAGGGGCAAGAUAUUAAGAAUGUAUAUAGUGCUACUUCAAUUAAGUAAGUUUUACUUUUUUUGGUGAUUAUCUUUAAUUUAUAUGUAAAAAAAUGUGGAUAUGGAUGGAAAGAUUUUAUAUAUAUAUAUAUACACUUAUAUGUCCAACCAUUUUUUAGGAAUUUGUUCUAAUUGUCCCCGUGUCAUGGAAGAUGAAGAGUUACCAAAUCCUUGGUACUUUGCCUUAACUUUGUAUUAAUAGAUACUAUGUGUACUAUUAUAUUUGACUCCUUUGUAAUUCAAAAAUGUGUGAUAUACUUGCCAAUUAGAACAUCUGGAUCCUUACUCGCUUUAACAAAUAUACUGCCGAGUGAGGUAAGUGAUCAAGAAAAACCAAGAAAAAUGAUUGAUUUCAGAUUCUCUAAUUUUCAAGCCUACAAGUACAAUUUUACACCCUUUUUUCAAGCUUUAAGAUUUGUAGGGAACCAUAGUGUUCUAUUUUGGAUGAUGUUGUUUUAGUAUUUAGUAGUUAUUCUUAGAUAGAAGUUAUGCUUUUAGUAUGAUCUAAAUUUCUUCUGUUAUUUUUGUAUUGUUUGAAUUGCAACUUCUGAUGUAUUAGCAAACUGGGAGACGAUAUCAAAACAUGAUACUUUAUCGUCUUCAUAAUUACAAUAUGCUAGAAUUGAGAGGAUGAUCAUAAAGUAAGAGAUUAAUGAUGUUUGGAAAUGAUUUAGGAACAACAUAUAGUGAGUUGAUUUUCUCCAUAGUACAUUGGAUUGUUCAGAAGUUGUUGACACCAAUACAAUAUGAAUGAUAAACUGUAAAUGCAGAAUGUUCAUAACAACUUUGAGCACGAGUUGUGCUAACAUUUUUUUAGUCCUACUACAUGAUGAUUUGGUGACAUUGUCUAUAGUUUGCAUAUGCUAGAGUCAAUAGAAUUUAUGUCUCUGCUUACUUGAUCAUACCUCUCACUAAUACAUCUACAUAACUUGAAUAAAUUGUUCCCUUACAAUUUAUGUGUUAUAUAUCUGAAUAAUAUUUAGCAUACUUUAUUAAUUACGGAGAACAAAUCAACUUAUAUGUUGGGCCCGUACUACCUCUCUAGUGUAUAUAUAUAUAUGUAUGUAUAUAUAUGAAUCACUGCUUAUAUAUAUUUUUAAAAGUUCAAAAUAAUAUAUUACAUGAUUGAAUGAUAUACUGCGGAUAACUAUCGUGUGUAACGUAUGUAGAAAUUUCCUUCUGCAAUCAAAUUAGAAUGAUUUAAUCAUUUUUGUUUACAAUAAUAUAUUACAUGUUUGGACCUAAUAUCAAUAAAAUUUAAUUUGGUUUUAAUUUUAAUUACUCAAUGAAGUUGUGUUGUUCAAAUCUUGUAGAUUAAUUGAUUGUCUAAUCAUCUGACACACAAUAUUAUCUAUUUUAAAUUGUGUGUUUUUAAAAAAUAGUUUGUGAUAAUCAUCACAAUUUGAUUUUGACAUAUAUAACUCAUAUCGUAAUAAUGUGUUUAGAGGACUCAUGUGCGAAACACGUGUUCAUAACUAGUUUUUCAUAGGAAUAAACUCUUUAAAAGAUUUCUUUUAUAUGUCAUAUGAUUUGUACAACCAUUAUCAAUUAUCCAAAAAUCAAAUUUGGACAGUUGUUUCAUCCUUUGGAAAUUUUAUUUUUGCAAAUUACAACU